AACGAACGCUGGCGGCAUGCCUAACACAUGCAAGUCGAACGAGACCUUCGGGUCUAUUGGCUCACUGGUGCGUAACGCGUGGGAACCUGCCCUUGUGUUCGGAAUAACUUCCCGAAGGGGGUGCUAUUCCCGGAUCGUUUCUUCGUACCAAAGAUUUAUCGCCUUUGGAUGGGCCCGCGUUUGAUUAGCUAGUUCGUAUGGUAAAAGCCUACCAAGGCGACGAUCCAUAGCUGGUCUGAGAGGAUGAUCAGCCACACUGGGACUGAGACACGGCCCAGACUCUUACGGGAGGCAGGAGAGGGGAAUAUUGGAAAAUGGGCGAAAGGCUGAUCCAGCAAUGCCGGGUGAGUGAUGAAGGCCUUAGGGUUGUAAAGCUCUUUUACCCGGGAUGAUAAUGACAGUACCGGGAGAAUAAGCUCCGGCUAACUCCGUG
RNAcentral lists this ribosomal RNA (433 nucleotides) under uncultured bacterium. Its description in RNAcentral is "partial 16S ribosomal RNA". It matches the Rfam family "Bacterial small subunit ribosomal RNA", at positions 29 to 507 of the family's 1533-position model. The record is from RNAcentral.